GACGAACGCUGGCGGCGUGCUUAACACAUGCAAGUCGAACGGAAAGGCCCCCUUGUGGGGUACUCGAGUGGCGAACGGGUGAGUAACACGUGAGUAACCUACCCUUGACUUUGGGAUAACUUCAGGAAACUGGGGCUAAUACCGUAUAGGAGCUCCUGCUGCAUGGUGGGGGUUGGAAAGUUUCGGCGGUUGGGGAUGGACUCGCGGCUUAUCAGCUUGUUGGUGGGGUAGUGGCUCACCAAGGCUUUGACGGGUAGCCGGCCUGAGAGGGUGACCGGCCACAUUGGGACUGAGAGACGGCCCAGACUCCUACGGGAGGCAGCAGUGGGGAAUAUUGCACAAUGGGCGGAAGCCUGAUGCAGCAACGCCGCGUGCGGGAUGACGGCCUUCGGGUUGUAAACCGCUUUCGCCUGUGAUGAAGCGUGAGUGACGGUAAUGGGUAAAGAAGCACCGGCUAACUACGUG
RNAcentral lists this ribosomal RNA (465 nucleotides) under uncultured bacterium. RNAcentral's name for it is "partial 16S ribosomal RNA". It matches the Rfam family "Bacterial small subunit ribosomal RNA", at positions 28 to 507 of the family's 1533-position model. The record is from RNAcentral.